This 164-nucleotide ribosomal RNA is filed under the name uncultured bacterium. RNAcentral describes it as "partial 16S ribosomal RNA". It matches the Rfam family "Bacterial small subunit ribosomal RNA", at positions 355 to 511 of the family's 1533-position model. The record is from RNAcentral.
UAGGGAAUCUUCCACAAUGGGCGCAAGCCUGAUGGAGCAACACCGCGUGAGUGAAGAAGGGUUUCGGCUCGUAAAGCUCUGUUGUUAAAGAAGAACACAUAUGAGAGUAACUGUUCAUUCGUUGACGGUAUUUAACCAGAAAGUCACGGCUAACUACGUGUCAG